RNAcentral lists this ribosomal RNA (644 nucleotides) under uncultured bacterium. RNAcentral's name for it is "bacterial SSU rRNA". It matches the Rfam family "Bacterial small subunit ribosomal RNA", at positions 52 to 691 of the family's 1533-position model. The record is from RNAcentral.
CACAUGCAAGUCGAACGGUAACAGGGAUUGCUUGCAAUCCGCUGACGAGUGGCGCACGGGUGCGUAACGCGUAUGCAAUCUGCCUUACACUGGGGGAUAGCCUUUAGAAAUGAAGAUUAAUACCCCAUAGUCUGUGAGUAUCACCUGGUAUUUACAGUAAAGGUUACGGUGUAAGAUGAGCAUGCGUCCUAUUAGUUAGUUGGUAAGGUAACGGCUUACCAAGACGACGAUAGGUAGGGGCCCUGAGAGGGGGAUCCCCCACACUGGUACUGAGACACGGACCAGACUCCUACGGGAGGCAGCAGUGAGGAAUAUUGGACAAUGGGCGAGAGCCUGAUCCAGCCAUGCCGCGUGCAGGAAGACUGCCCUAUGGGUUGUAAACUGCUUUUAUACGGGAAGAAACCCUGCCACGUGUGGCGGGCUGACGGUACCGUAAGAAUAAGGAUCGGCUAACUCCGUGCCAGCAGCCGCGGUAAUACGGAGGAUCCAAGCGUUAUCCGGAAUCAUUGGGUUUAAAGGGUCCGUAGGUGGAUGAUUAAGUCAGGGGUGAAAGUCUGCGGCUCAACCGUAGAAUUGCCUUUGAUACUGGUCAUCUCGAAUCAUUGUGAAGUAGUUAGAAUAUGUAGUGUAGCGGUGAAAUGCAU